Non-coding RNA from Albula glossodonta (roundjaw bonefish), 73 nucleotides. NCBI's taxonomy places the organism in Eukaryota, Metazoa, Chordata, Actinopteri, Albuliformes, Albulidae. The record is from the annotation of a GenBank genome assembly.
GCCCGGCUUGCUCAGUUGGUAGAGCAUGAGACCCUUAACCUCAGGAUUGUGGGUUUGAGCCCCACGGUGAGAG